GAAUCAAAGUGAAAAUUACCUACUCUCUGGCAAGCCAACUUCCCACUUCAGGACAUAGAGUAGGUAAUUUUCACUUUCAUUCUUGUAUGCAUGAAAAGAAUUUUCAUUUCUCCUGGGCCUGAAAAGUCUUUCCUCCAGAUUUUUGUACAACUAGAUACUGUUCAUUAUUCAAGUCCUGGCCUAAAACACUUCCUAAGAGAAGCUCUCCCUUACCAUCCAGCUAAAGUAGUGCCACACUAUCAUAUCCACCUGUUAACUUUCCAUUUCCUUUGUUUGUAAAGCUUUCGAUAUAGAAACAUACAAUAAAUACCAAUUUUACAACUUCAUGUAGCAUACACAAACAUCUCCUUGAUUCUUGCAAAUUAGACUGAGAAAAUCGUGGAAAUUGCUAAGCAACGUUUGGUGUAGUGCAAACUCUAGGGAUUUGCUGGCUGGCAACAUUCCCUUCAUCCUGUAAUGAACAUAUUUUGUUCAGUAGUAGCCAUAUGAGUAUGACUAAAGCAAAGAGACCCAUUCAGAGAUAUUUGCAUUUUCUUAACACAGAAAGAAAACUUUAGUGCAAAAUUAUCAGAUAGUAUGAUAAAACAUAGUGAAACAUUUUGGGGAGGGUGGAAAAGAUGUUUCUAGCCCACUAAAUCAUACCUCAUAUGCAAAACUUUCUGCUUUUCAAGAGAGACCUACAUUUGUCUCCAGAGAAGAGGACUGGGAAAUAAAUCUCCAUUAGUCCUAGGAAAUGUAAACUUCUUUUAUUUAGCUUUUCCUGAUGAAGUGUAGGUUCAGGGAAUUUUCAUAUAUAAACCAUUAUCCUUUAAAAUAUGUGGGGGCUUAUAAACGUAAUAUAUCUGUUGUUCUUUGGUCUGUAAAAUAUUUCAAUAAAUUAUUGAACUCUUGAAGCCACGAAAUCAAACAAACUAAAUAUAUGGUGUCUUUUACUUCUUCAAUUUUCAUUUUAAAAUCCCCAAACACCUAUUGUUAACAAAUGAAGGAAACAUUUCCUUAUUUCCUGAUCAUCCCUACCAAAAUAUUGUUGACAAUAGAAAAAAAUUAAUUAUGGCCUAUAGUAGGAAGCAUAGUCAUUAACAGUAUGUCCUGGAAAUUUUAAAAUUUUAUUAAAAUGCCUAAUCUCUACACUAUAAAAUAUAUGCAAACAAUAAACUAGAUUGGUAUAUGCAAACAAUUUAAGAUUGAAACUAGAUAGGAUUAAUUUAUAGAACAUAUAUAGCUAUUAAUUGAUCAAUAUCUUAAUGAAAAUUAACAGUGCAUAAAAAUAUUCAUAAUUGUCCUUAAAGAACAUGAACUAGGCCGGGCACCGUGGUUCACGUCUGUAAUCCCAGAACUUUGGGAGGCCGAGGCAGGUGGAUUAUCUGAGGUCAGGAGUUCAAGACCAGCCUGACCAACAUGGUGAAACCCCGUCUCUACUAAAAACAACAACAACAACAAAAAUAGAAAAAAAUUAGCUGGGCAUGGUGGCGGGCACCUGUAAUCCCAGCUACUCAGGAGGCUGAGGCAGGAGAAUUGUUUGAACCCAGGAGGUAGAGGUUGCAGUGAGCUGAGAUCAUGCUGCUGCACUCUAGCCUGGGUGCAACAGAGUGAGACUCCGUCUCAAAGAAAAAAAAAAAGAAUAUGAGCUAAAUUUUAUCACAUAUUUAUGUAAAAUUUUGAAUUGUAUCAUACGUAUUUAUUCACAGCAUACUUUUAUUUACCAAAGUACAUCGUACAUUAUACAAAUCUUAAUUACAUUUACAUUAUACAUUUAUAAUAUUAAAAUUGUGCGAGUAGUCUUCAAAUAUCUGACAACUUUGGGGUCAGUGAAUGAAUUGACAAUGAACAAGUCAUGCUUUAUAAAUAAAAAAUGCAUGUUGUUUGAUUUGACUCAUUCUUUGUGAACCUAUGCUAGCUUCAUAUUCUUUCUCUCGAUGUCCUAUUUUUUUGGUCUAUAGUUUGUGAGGUUCACCUUUUUCCUCUUUAGAAAAUGGUGAUAGCUUUGCUUUUCAACUGACUCCCCUAAUGUCCACUUUUCUUCAGAGAUUACAGACAAUGGUUUUCCAAAUCUCCUUAUUCUUUUAUUGCCUUAGGAUCUAAUUGCAAGCAGUUGAAAGAUUAAAAUCCUCUAAAGAAAUUAAAUUAUUUCUAAUUAUCCCAUGACCUGUUUUAAACUACAAUUUUCUCUUAAAGAAACUUACCCUCCAUUUUUCUUUUAAAAUUACUCCCUGUGAUAGAGAAAGUAGGAGACAACUGUCUCAAAAAUCUGCUUGCUCCUCUUGAUCUAUUAAAAUACCAUUAAAAAUUUUGGGUUUACUUUGCUGGUGUCAGUUGAUUUUGUGCUUACUAUAAUAGAUCCAUUUGACCCUUUCAUAUUCAUUGAUAUGUACAUGUACUGUUUUUUCCUACUACUGUAGUUUCUCUUAUUCAUUCAACCUCAGUGAGGAAUACAAACAUGAGUCAUGCUCUCAAAGAAGCCUAGAAGUAAGGCUGAGAUAUGUCAACAGUGUUGUAAUGCAAGCCAGGAAGAAACAUGAUAAAAGGUUCCAGUAGCAUGUACUAAGAGUUCAGUAGAUAAGGUUACUUUAGGUGAUUAUGUAUAAAUUUUAAAAAAACUUUCUAUACGGGCUUUAUUUAAGCUGGACUUCUAAAGAAUCCCCUAUCCAAGAAAAUGGUUGGGCCUUAAUAGGUCUAUAAAUUACAUGAAAUUAUAUGUAAUAUUUGGAAAAUAUGUGUAUGCAAUAUAGAAUGUAUAUAUUGUGAUAGAGAGAAAAGGGCAGAAUAAGACUACUAGUAUUCAUCAUAUUCUGAAAGACAUCCACACAGAGUAGUGUUUGGAGAGUUUUGCAACAUUAUUAAAAGAGUAUGAUUAGAAUUACAUUCUCAUUGCUUCCAAAUGUUCAUCAGUGUUUUUGCUUCUCAACAAUCUAAGCAAGCAUGAUGAACUUUUCAUUGAAUUUCUUGAAACAUGCUUUUCCAGAGACUAGAAAACACAUCUGAUUGUUCCUUACUAUUUUGCAAUAUAAUAUGUUCAUUUCCUUCCCCAAAUCUUUUCUUCACCUACAAGUUCACUGAUAAAAAUUAAGCCUAUAAUAUUAUUCCUUUGUUUCCUUUCACUUUCUGGGAAUUGAAACUGUUGUCAUUUUAAAUCAACAAUAAAAUUAUAUUAAAAAUAAGGGGCAGAAUUAGAAUAUGGGCACUAGAUAUCUUAUUAAAAUAACAGAAUACUCAACUUUUUUUUAAUUGUAUGGAGACUGAUGGGAAACUGAAUUCAUACACUGAGAAGAGCUACAGAGAAUAAAAAGAACAAAUUAAUAUGUGCAUUUAGAAAGCAGAGGGAAUAGUAAUAUAAAAAAGGAGUUAAAAACAUAAAAGUAGAGAUAAGUAGUGUUUCACAGAGUUUUCUGUAAGGGUAAGUGCACGAAAAAUGGCAAGAUGGUUUUAAAAGAUUUAGAAUUCACAAAGUAGAAAGUGACAGAAAUUGAACUACUCACUUAAAUUUAAAAAGAGACGGGGGGAUAGAUUCAGCUACUUGAUGGCAUGAAAUCAAAGUACUUGAAUUUUUGAAGUGUAUUUAAAAAUCUAGUAAAGAAUGCCUACAAUUACAAAAGGUAUGAGAUUGUCUUUUUGAGUUUAGUAGAAUAUAAACUGACGACAAAAGACUGACAGGCACCAAAUAAGUAGAGUGUAAAACAACAACAAAAAAAAGAAAGAUAAAUUCAGGUAAUGAUAUUCAAGCAGUAUGACUGCAUAAGAUUGCAUAAGAAAGAAUACAUUUCCAAAUCCAAAACAAUAUCAUCCUGUUGUAUUAUAUGCAUAUAUUGAAUACAAUAACAAAAGUAUCAAGAGUUCUUAUUAAAGCACCCAUUAUCAUUUAUGUAAAAUAUUGCAAGACUUUAAAGUCACAGAACAAAACAUAUUUUUUCCCCAUUAUCUUUUUUGAGAUGAUCACAUUUCUUCACACUUUGUGAACUGCGUAGUUAAGAUGGAGCAAUGAUUUGAACUAUUUGCAAAUGCAGUUCCUUCCCCACUCUUUAUAUACUGUUUGGGCCAUGAAUCUAUGGAAAGAGGUGUUUUACAAGAACGAAAGUCACAUCAUUCAGGACUUUCUAGCAUAAAAUGAUCUAAUAUGCUUAGAUUUAAGUGGUCAGAUUUUGCCCCUUCCUCCCUUUCCUCUCCAUGUUCCCAGAUCAUUUCCAGAGAGAUAAGUAACUAAUUGACAGUGUUGUUUGAGAGUAAAUUCCUGAGUUAUAUAGAAGUUGGAACAAUUAUUCCCUCAUAAAACUAAAACAAAUUCUACAAUAGUUACAUGAAAUGCAGAAGCACAAUCAAUGAACAUUAAUUCUUGACUGAAAUGAAACAGCCCUGGUGUUUUCAUGCAAACUUAGCUGCUAUAAACCUAAAAGAUGCAAUCACCAAAAGAUGUGAAGUCUUGAGGUAAAGAUUAGCACUAUAAAUGCCAUUUGAUAUCAGAUGAAAUAUGCAUUUCUGUACAUGUGUUUAGAAGAAUCUAAGCCCCUAAAACUUCUCCUCACUAACCCCAAGAUGCCUGAAUUUCUCAACAUUAAGUUUUCACAUCGUAAUACAGUUUUCUUUCCUGGUGUUUCCUCUUCUCUCUGCCUAGUAAAGGAUGUUAUAAAAUCGCAGUUCAAUGUUUUUUUCUCUUCUUGUAUUUUCCACUCUGCUGGUUAUGGCCAAUGAGUCAAGAUUCAAAGUGUUCCCAUAUAUAUCUCUGCAGCUCAAACUCUCCAGAACUUGGGCUUGUAUUUCCAGUUACUGGACUUAAGCUGGGCACACCCACAGUGUCCCUGGACUGGGUGAGGAAUGCUGGAAACCACUGCAUAAACAUGAAAAAUCAUUCCGUAAUUUAGGCAAAGUUUGGAGAGAGAGUCACAUUUUAUA
This 4884-nucleotide long non-coding RNA is filed under the name Homo sapiens (human). RNAcentral describes it as "non-protein coding lnc-MAGI2-1:2". Lineage: Eukaryota; Metazoa; Chordata; Mammalia; Primates; Hominidae. The record is from RNAcentral.